GUGAAUCAUCGAAUCUUUGAACGCACAUUGCGCCUCUCGGUAUUCCGGGAGGCACGCCUGUCCGAGCGCCAUUACACACUCCAAGCUCAAGCUUGAUGUUGGACGAUGUCUUUUGACGACGUGAGUAUAGCGCUGUCGGAGACACGUCUGGAACACGUGGGCGCCGACCACCGGACCACGAGCGUAGCAAGACGACGUAACAGUCAUUUCCGCUCGGAUGUUGGGACGUGUGGUGCGGCCGCCAAAUGUAUGACCAAAAAGAGUUUGGCCUCGGAUCAGGCGGGGAUACCCGCUGAACUU
RNAcentral lists this unclassified non-coding RNA (300 nucleotides) under uncultured Sympoventuriaceae. Its description in RNAcentral is "sequence contains 5.8S rRNA gene, ITS2". The stretch from base 1 to 71 matches the Rfam family "5.8S ribosomal RNA", at positions 84 to 154 of the family's 154-position model. Lineage: Eukaryota; Fungi; Ascomycota; Dothideomycetes; Venturiales. The record is from RNAcentral.